GAUGAACGCUAGCGGCAGGCCUAAUACAUGCAAGUCGAGGGAGAAUGUUGGAUUCGUCUGACAUGAAACCGGCGCACGGGUGCGUAACACGUAUGCAACCUACCUUUAACUGGGGUAUAGCUCAGAGAAAUCUGAAUUAAUCCCCCAUAAGACUACGACAUGGCAUCAUGAUGUAGUUAAAGCUCCGGCGGUUAAGGAUGGGCAUGCGGUACAUUAGCUAGUUGGUGAGGUAAUGGCUCACCAAGGCUACGAUGUAUAGGGGGUCUGAGAGGAUGAUCCCCCACACUGGUACUGAGACACGGACCAGACUCCUACGGGAGGCAGCAGUAGGGAAUAUUGGUCAAUGGACGCAAGUCUGAGCCAGCCAUGCCGCGUGAAGGAUGAAGGCCCUAUGGGUCGUAAACUUCUUUUAUUAGGGAAGAAAAAACGGGAUGCGUCCUGUACUGACGGUACUUAAUGAAUAAGGAUCGGCUAACUUCGUGCCAGCAGCCGCCGUAA
RNAcentral lists this ribosomal RNA (498 nucleotides) under uncultured bacterium. Its description in RNAcentral is "partial 16S ribosomal RNA". It matches the Rfam family "Bacterial small subunit ribosomal RNA", at positions 28 to 523 of the family's 1533-position model. The record is from RNAcentral.